Molecule: transfer RNA, 76 nt
Filed under: Acidobacteriota bacterium
Lineage: Bacteria; Pseudomonadati; Acidobacteriota
Description: Acidobacteria bacterium (wastewater metagenome) tRNA-Lys
Rfam family: tRNA
About the family: Transfer RNA (tRNA) molecules are approximately 80 nucleotides in length. Their secondary structure includes four short double-helical elements and three loops (D, anti-codon, and T loops).
Source: RNAcentral
GGGCCGCUAGCUCAACGGGUAGAGCAGCAGACUCUUAAUCUGCGGGUUCGGGGUUCGAGUCCCUGGCGGCUCACCA